Long non-coding RNA from Nicotiana tabacum (common tobacco), 1302 nucleotides. RefSeq lists it as uncharacterized. NCBI's taxonomy places the organism in Eukaryota, Viridiplantae, Streptophyta, Magnoliopsida, Solanales, Solanaceae. The record is from RefSeq and is a predicted model, not a curated record.
CUUCCUUUUCGCUUAGUUUUCAAAGAUAUCCCAAAUAUGUUAUUUCUUUGUUUCUCCUAUUUUCGGUCGUAGCUUUUGAGAUCGUAUCAAAGUUUUCCAUCUUGACUCCAGUUUGUUGAUGUCUUCUAUGAUUUUUGAUUCUGGUUUAAUUUUAUUCUGAUUUUUUCUUUCUCAAUUUGGUUGAGUAUCUAAAAGUGUGUGCAUGAAUAUCAAAUUGUCAAUUGUUGCUAUGUUUUUUUAGGAUGAAUAGGUUUUUUGAAAUGCCUAUUAAGGAUGAAAUUGGUAAACAUGGAUAAAGAAAAAUGCAAAAUCUAUUUAGCAAAUAAAAAAACCAGAAGACUUACAUCGUUGGGCACCCUCUGUUCUCUUUGACCUAUGGUUCCUUCCUACGGUUGUGGCACAAUUUGUUGUGUUUUUGUUUUAAGUUGUUUUAAUUUUUUCCUUGGUACAUUGCAGAAUUGUUAAAGCAACAAAAUAUUUGUUCAACGAUGCUAGCAGAAAUGCUCCUUGAAAAUGAGGUAACUCCCUCCUUUGCUGGAAGUGCCCUGAAAAAUAAAAGUCUGAUCAGCACCAUGACAAGAAGAUGAUGAACAUACCAUGCAGCACAACAAGACUAUAGCAAAGCGUCAAUUGGAUUAUUCAGCUAAUGUCAAAGUCAGGGAUAGUACAAGAAGGGGGCUUGUUAAAAGCCUGCAACUCAAUUUCAGGAGCGUAGGCUCAACAAUUCGGGACAAAAUAACUCCUCAUGUAUGGUUUACUGGUGAGGCUGCUGAAGGAGAUUCAAUCUGAAAAUAUAAAAGAUGUUAUCAAAGAAGAUGCGGAUUAAGAAGAUGACGAAGACAAGGAUGAAGAGGAGAUGAAGGAAAAGAAGGUGGGAUCUGCAGGGGCUUUGGAUGCCGUUUUGCAUUUGAAGAUGUUUCAUUCUACAUAGAAGCUCCAUGGCACAAGUCCCAGUUUGUAAUAAGGACUAUGAAAGACGACUAUCUCAAAUUCUUUUUCAUGGAGCAAUUCCAAAUCACGAUUCAAUGACAUCCAAGUUUGAGGAAUUCUCACAUUUGCAAGCUGCUUGUGCUGCUCUAAAGGGGAAACCCCUCCAAAAAAUUUGUGAGGUAACCCUCGAGGACCGUUCUGACUAUAGAUAUACUUCAACGGUAAUGCAUUCUUCGACAUGUUGUACAUUGGAUGAAGACCACAAAGUAAAUAGAUUGAGGUUACAAAUGUCGUUUGACGUAGUUUUGAAUGUAUCUACAUUUGGACUAUAUAGAACUCUCCUCAAUGCAUGAAAAUAUUAUUAAGUGUUAA